AUACGGAGGAUGCAAGCGUUAUCCGGAUUUAUUGGGUUUAAAGGGUGCGUAGGCGGUUUGCUAAGCGGGAGGUGAAAUGCCGGCGCUCAACGUCGGAAGUGCCUCCCGAACUGGUGGACUGGAAUGACUCUGCCGUGGGAGGAAUGUGUAGUGUAGCGGUGAAAUGCUUAGAGAUUACACAGAACACCGAUUGCGAAGGCAUCUCACGAAGGGUUGAUUGACGCUGAGGCACGAAAGCGUGGGGAUCAAACAGGAUUAGAUACCCUGGUAGUCCACGCAGUAAACGAUGAUGGCUAACCGCUGGUUUAUUCGGAUCAGUGGCCAAGCGAAAGCGAUAAGCCAUCCACCUGGGGAGUAGACCGCAAGGUUGAAACUCAAAUGAAUUGACGGGG
Molecule: ribosomal RNA, 392 nt
Filed under: uncultured bacterium
Lineage: Bacteria
Description: partial 16S ribosomal RNA
Rfam family: Bacterial small subunit ribosomal RNA
Source: RNAcentral